UACAACGACUCUUUGAAGAAACCUUGGAUGAUAUGAGCUACAACAAUAUUUAAUUUCCUUUUGGGAUUAAUAAAGUAUUUUUAAAUUGAACUGAAUUGGACUGAACCGAGGACUAAACAGUACCAUCUACAGCCGCAAGAGGCCACUGUAGGCAUGUGACAACUACAGUAUAUUCUCCCAUAGAAGUGAAAAGUUAACAGAAACAUUAACUUAAAGACAACUGAGAAAGACUGAACACAAAGUGCCCCAGAAAAGAAUCUUAUUUUGCAGAUUACAAAAUGCAGGUAGUAAAAUAUGCAGCCAAAAAUGGUAAUUGAGCAGCGGAAAAAACGUUGAGAGUGAGAAACUUGUGAGGGACUGGUGAAAAGCAGAGGAAACUCUUACUGCAAUGAAGAAAACAAAGAAGCUAAUCACAGGUUGAAAACAAGCUAGCCAGAGCUGGAGGAACUAGUCCACACAUGGGUGCUUGAACGUCGCGCUGCCGGGAGAGGCUUGUCAAUGGCGUAAUUAAUCCUCUUCGCCCUGGAAGUUGCAAAGAAGGUGAAUAUAAAUGACUUUGCAGGCGGGCCCUUCUUGGUUUUCCUGCUUCAUGCAACGCAACAACCUCUCUAUCAGAGCAUGAACAAUUGAGUGUCAGAAACUGCCAGCAGACCUCCAAGCCAAGAUCGACAGUGUCCAUAAAUUCAUUGAAUAGCAGGUAACUGAACACAACACCGGAUCAUAUUAUCAACAUGGAUGAGGUUCCCAUCACAUUUGAUGGACCUGAGUGUCGCAGAGAUCGGGCAGAAAAGUGUAAAAAUAGUAACAACUGGUCAUGAGAAAUCACACUUCACAGUGGUUACUAAUGUGCUAUCUGCUUGCUCUGACCAUAGCUGUCAAGUCUCCCGUUUUGGCCGGGAAACUACCGUACUUUAACCUCUUUCCCGCCGUCCUCCCGUAUUAGUAUUCUCCCGUAUUACAAUAUAAUAAUAAAAAAACAUUCCUCUGCUUCUUUCUCUGAAUUCUGUCACUAGCCUCGCGGGAACUGCCACCUGCAGUAGCCUGGGUGGCAGUUGUCACAAUAUUAGUGCCGACGGCGGGAACAAACCUGGAACAACAAAGGAGAGAAAUGGAUAGACGUGACGAAAGGGAAGGCAUUCCUGCCAGAAAAAGAAAGACAUUGUGCAAAUAUCUUGAAAAAUGGGACAGCGAAUUUUCUUUUCUAAAGAAGAGCAGGAUGGGGCACAGUCACGCGUUCUGUAAGAUUUGUAACUGCGAUUUUAGUGUCUCCCACGAGCGGAGGAACGACAUCAGUCAGCAUGAAAAAUCGACCAAGCACAAGCGCUGGCUAGAGGCACAGAAACAUGCCCAGGCGAUGUCAACAUUUGUGACUAAAAAAAUACCACCGAGGCAGACCAGGUCAUAAAUGCGGAGGUUAAAAUGGCAAUGCUGUGUGCCAAGAACAAUGUUGCUUUCAACUUCUGUGAUGACUUCAAUAAGUGUGUAGCUGAAAUGUUCCCGGACUCUGCUAUCGCACGGAAAUUCGCGGCGGGAAAAACCAAGGCUACCCAACUCAUCAAAGGUAAGCUGAGUCAAAUUAAGUAUGAGUAUUGUGUAUGCAUAUGCCUAUUUAAUAAUGUCCCGUAUGCAUAUUGUAGGGUAAAGGUUAGCUCAUUUUAAUUACUGGGCUCUCUCAACAGGUGCCAUAGCAACAGAGCUAGAUGACGAGUUGACCAUAACAUGCCGAUCUCAGACAUUUUCAGUGAUGUGCGACGAAUCGAACAACAGAAAAGCAAAUAAAGAAUUUGUCAUCCUAACUAGACUCUACGAUGAGGCCACUCUGCAGGUUGUUACAAGAUUCAUGGAGAUGCCUGUAUGCAACGUGGGAAAUGCAGAAAAUCUUUAUGAAAAACUGAGUGAAGCACUAAGAAAAAGGGGCAUCCCAUGGGAGAACCUGAUAGCCUUUAACUCUGAUAAUGCGAGCGUCAUGAAAGGCAGACACAACUCUGUUAUCAGCAGACUGAAACAGAGCCAGCGCCACGUACAGGACCACGGCUGCAUCUGCCACCUGGCACAGCUGGCCACUGGCUGUGGCAUCAGAGCAGCCCAGGUCUGCAGUUAAUAUUCUUAUAAACAUCUUUCAGUGCAAAAAGAUGUGAACUCUACAAAGGGUUUGUAGAUUUCACUGAUUCAGACCACCUGAAGCUCUUCAGGUACUGCAGCACCAGAUGGCUGAGUCUGCUAACCUGCAUCCAGAGAGUGUUGAACCAGUGGGAUGCACUGCAGGCCUACUUUAACAGUCAUGAGGAGGUGGAGAGGAGUGCCAAAGUGCGCGAUCUAGCAAGCCACG
Long non-coding RNA from Girardinichthys multiradiatus, 2329 nucleotides. RefSeq lists it as uncharacterized. The record is from RefSeq and is a predicted model, not a curated record. The transcript has 4 exons. NCBI's taxonomy places the organism in Eukaryota, Metazoa, Chordata, Actinopteri, Cyprinodontiformes, Goodeidae.